GGGGAUGAUCGGUAUCGACAAUUGCCGUCUCCCGUUCGUGCGGUGCGAGCGCUGCUAUCUCGUAAAUCUGGCAGAAACCACAAAUGCUAAAAACACCGUUUCUCCGUAUUUCGGAGCCAAGGAUUUUGCAUUCGCACUCGCUUAAGUAGUGCGCGUUCGUCUAAGGGGAUCCAUACCUUAGUUGCGGAUGUCAUAACCCGGACGUAGGAAUAGAGAACUUCUCACUCUGUAUUCCGAAACCUAGAGAUCGUGAAUGUGUGUUUCGUAGACUUUUUCAUCGCAUUCAUUAAACAUCAAUUUCUACUAUCACCGUAGAAUCGUUCGGCGAGAUUCAGUUGCACGUGGGUUCGAUUCCCACCAUCUCCACAA
Molecule: transfer-messenger RNA, 369 nt
Filed under: Parcubacteria bacterium C7867-002
Lineage: Bacteria; Candidatus Parcubacteria
Also listed under: 1 other name
Description: ssrA
Rfam family: transfer-messenger RNA
About the family: Bacterial tmRNA, also known as 10Sa RNA or SsrA, is named for its dual tRNA and mRNA-like properties. Its role is to liberate the mRNA from a stalled ribosome. To accomplish this part of the tmRNA is used as a reading frame that ends in a translation stop signal.
Source: RNAcentral